Long non-coding RNA from Rhinopithecus roxellana (golden snub-nosed monkey), 988 nucleotides. RefSeq lists it as uncharacterized. NCBI's taxonomy places the organism in Eukaryota, Metazoa, Chordata, Mammalia, Primates, Cercopithecidae. The record is from RefSeq and is a predicted model, not a curated record. The transcript has 3 exons.
CGCCCCUAGUGUCCCCAGAGCGCUCCCGCACUCUGGAGUUCCCCCCUCCUGCUACCCGGGCUGGGCAUCCCGGGAGGAGACCCCAGGGAGCAGUGGGGGAUGAGGCUCCAGCCUGCUCACUCCGCCUCAGUGACGAGAGGCAGCGGCGCUCCACGCCUCAGUUAUCUCAGCUGGAAAAUGGGGCCAUGAAAUGCUCUGCUCUCUUCUCUUUUCCUUGCUGUCCCCGGGGCUGGAGGAGCACGGGCCUCCCCAGGAGCGGGCCUCGGCCUCCCUGGACUCUCGUCUCCUUCUGAGGGCUGAGCCUGGGGAACCAGAAGCAAGAGUCCCUAGAGCUUCCAAGAUUUUUGGUUUCAAACUAGUUUCCUGCUGACCAGAAUGAAAUGGAGCCACAUUCCAGCACAAUGCACCUGCUGACCUCGUGCAAAUCAAGGACCUUCUCCGCCCCUCUUUUGCUCCGCUGCAGAAGGGGGAAGCUGGGAAUGUGCUGCUCUGGGGUCCCGCCACCUCCAGCCAGCCACUGUCUCCGUCUUCCCCAAACCUCCUCGUUGUCCCUCCUCUGUCCUCCUCCUCCAUCCUCCCUCGCCCUGCUCUCCUCUUUUUUGCCUGAGGUUCAUGCUGCCUCCUCACCUCUUGUCCAGUUUCUCCCUUCUCUCUGCUCCCUCCUUUUAUCUUGCUAUUUUGCUUCUCUUUCCUUUCCUCUCUUUUCCCCCUUCCCUUCCUCCCUGCUCCCUGCCUCAUCUUCUCAGUCUCUCCGUUCUUCCUCUAGCUUCCUUCCCUCUCCAGAAGACCCAGCCCUUCCUAGAGCCCCAGAAGCCAGGGUUCAUGCCCCAGCUCUCUACCCGCACAUGCUAUGCAACCCUGGGCCAGUCACUCGUCUCUUGGGCCUCAGUUGAAUGGAUGGCUGUCUUGGUGAUGUGAGAUCAUAGGGUGGAAGCACCCAGCAUGGUACCAGGCACUCAAAACUUUUUUUCUUUUCCUUUUUAAGGAA